Molecule: ribosomal RNA, 1301 nt
Filed under: metagenome
Description: SSU rRNA
Rfam family: Eukaryotic small subunit ribosomal RNA
Source: RNAcentral
UUUGUGCGAUAAAUCAUUCAAGUUUCUGCCCUAUCAGCUUUGGAUGGUAGUGUAUUGGACUACCAUGGCAGUCACGGGUAACGGAGAAUUAGGGUUCGAUUCCGGAGAGGGAGCCUGAGAAACGGCUACCACAUCUACGGAAGGCAGCAGGAGCGAAAAUUGCCCAAUCCCGACACGGGGAGGCAGUGACGAGAAAUAACAACUCUUGGUUAUUCUAAGAAGUGUAAUGAGGAUAAUUUAAAACCCUUACCGAAAGCAAUUGGAGGGCAAGUCUGGUGCCAGCAGCCACGGUAAUUCCAGCUCCAAUAGCGUAUAUUAAAGUUGUUGCAGUUAAAAAGCUCGUAGUUGAAGUUCUGGCUGCUUGACCCUCGAGCUCUGUAGCCGAGGGCUCAGCAGUCAUCCGCUUGCAAAUAUAUGUUCGCCUUUAACCGGGCGGCUAUAUGAGUAAGCAUUUUACCUUGAGAAAAACAGAGUGUUCCAGGCAGGUUUGUCCGGAAUGCAUUAGCAUGGAAUAAUAGAAUAUGACUGAAGUCGAUUUAUUGGUUUGAGGCUUUAGUAAUGAUUAAUAGGAACAGUCGGGGGCAUUGGUACUUGUCAGUCAGAGGUGAAAUUCUAGGAUUUGACAAAGACUAACAAAUGCGAAAGCAUUUGCCAAGGAUGUUUUCAUUAAUCAAGAACGAAAGUUAGGGGAUCAAAGACGAUCAGAUACCGUCCUAGUCUUAACUAUAAACUAUACCGACUCGGAUUCAGAUGAAUCAUAAAGUUCAUUUGGGACCGUAGGAGAAAUCAAAGUUUUUGGGUUCUGGGGGAAGUAUGGUCGCAAGGCUGAAACUUAAAGGAAUUGACGGUUUUGCACCACCAUGGAGUGGAGUCUGCGGCUUAAUUUGACCCAACACUGGGAAACUCAUCAGGGCAAGAAGAUUGUAGGAUUGACAGAUUGAGAGUUCUUUCUUGAUUGGUCUAGAGGUGGUGCAUGGCCGUUCUUAGUUGGUGGAGUGAUUUGUCUGGUUAAUUCCGUUAACGAACGAGACCUUAACCUGCUAACUAGUACACCGAUGACAAAUCGGUGAUACUUCUUAGAGGGACUAUGUGAUGUAAUCACAUGGAAGUUUGAGGCAAUAACAGGUCUGUGAUGCCCUUAGAUGUCCUGAGCUGCACGCGUACUACAAUGGUGCUUUCAUCGAGCUUUUCCUGAUCCGAAAGGAUUUGGGUAAUCUUUUUAGUGAGCACCGUGCUUGGGAUAGAUCUUUGUAAUUAUGGAUCUUGAACUAGGAAUUCCUAGUAAGCACGUGUCAUCAGCA